Molecule: long non-coding RNA, 222 nt
Filed under: Scleropages formosus (Asian bonytongue)
Lineage: Eukaryota; Metazoa; Chordata; Actinopteri; Osteoglossiformes; Osteoglossidae
Description: lncRNA (ENSSFOG00015025298.1)
Source: RNAcentral
CAGAGACGAAUGUGACGCGCGCUCACCUUUUCUCUUCGAAAACGUCCCUCAACUGGAACACGAAGGGACACAAAGACAACUGUGGCUCUAAAAAGCAAGAACAAGCCUGUGAUGCAUGGACCUCCUGAAGCCCAACUAUGGAGACCUCAAGCCCCUGAAGACCAUGAGAAAACACCAUUGUUAAAUACGUGCCCCUGAAAUCAGUGGACCCUGCACCUGCAA